AUUGAACGCUGGCGGCAUGCUCUACACAUGCAAGUCGAACGGUAACAGGCCGCAAGGUGCUGACGAGUGGCGAACGGGUGAGUAAUGCAUCGGAACGUGCCCAGUCGUGGGGGAUAACGCAGCGAAAGCUGUGCUAAUACCGCAUACGAUCUAUGGAUGAAAGCGGGGGACCGUAAGGCCUCGCGCGAUUGGAGCGGCCGAUGUCAGAUUAGGUAGUUGGUGGGGUAAAGGCUCACCAAGCCAACGAUCUGUAGCUGGUCUGAGAGGACGACCAGCCAAACUGGGACUGGGCGACGGCCCAGACUCCUACGGGAGGCAGCAGUGGGGAAUUUUGGACAAUGGGCGCAAGCCUGAUCCAGCAAUGCCGCGUGCAGGAAGAAGGCCUUCGGGUUGUAAACUGCUUUUGUACGGAACGAAACGGUCUGGGUUAAUACCCUGGGCUAAUGACGGUACCGUAAGAAUAAGCACCGGCUAACUACGUGCCAGCCGCCGCCGUAA
This 498-nucleotide ribosomal RNA is filed under the name uncultured bacterium. RNAcentral's name for it is "partial 16S ribosomal RNA". It matches the Rfam family "Bacterial small subunit ribosomal RNA", at positions 30 to 523 of the family's 1533-position model. The record is from RNAcentral.